UUAGUUUCGUUUAGUUCGCAAAUCGCAUUGGAGCCCAUACCAUCCCUCCACGGAUUUUGGAGUUGUUACCAUCUAUUUUUUUUUAAGUGCCCUGUUCCUUGGAAGAGAAAAAAUUAAAAGGAAGGGGAAGUACAUAAGUUAAGUGAUUGUGGAUUUGUGCGCGCUGUGAUAUUUGCCUCCGUCAUUGGGGUCUUUGAACUGCUCCAAGCGUUCAGCACCCCCGCCCCCGCCCCCGCCCUCUGUACCGCCCACAGAAUACCCGAAAGCGGUAUCGUUUCGUUUUUUGGGCUUCGUGCAACUCCAAAAAAGUGUGACGGCGUCUGUUGUCCAUUAUCGCGAGGAGCUUUUCGCUUUGCCCGAUAACCGAUAAGUGCAGUAAACCCACCCCCUGAACCCCACAACCCCCCUCGCCACCAAAGGGCAAUCAGUUAUUGGCCCGCCGCCGCCGCUCUAAUGAACGUUGAACUGCAAAUUGCAAAAGCGUACGAAAAUAACAAACAAAUGCGAAAUUCGCUCUCUAGCGGGACAUCCGCGUCGCUCGCACACAUACAUGCGUGCAAAAUAAUGAGUGUAAUAAAUGGGUGCAUUCACCUCUGGAAUGGAAUAUGUAUGUAUGUACAUCUCUAUCUGGAUCUGGUGACUGUCUAUCGGGAGAUCACUGGCCAAUUCUUCUCUGAGUGCAGGGUCUCCUGUGUCUGCUGUAUCUGUGCCUGGGCAGAAAUAGAAACAUCGCGAAUGGAGCAGAAGCAAGUGGGAGAAGAAAGGAGAUUGGAGAAUGACAGAGACGGAGACAGAAGGAAAAGACUGCAGAGUGGAGAAUGGAGAAGAGUUAUCUCCUAGCCUUUGUGCCUGUGCCAUUUGUUUGUCUAUCCGGCUUUUGGCCUUGGAGUAACCGUUUCCGAGAACUUGGGAACUCGCCCCAAUGUGUGUGUGUAUCACUUGGAAGAAAGAACUUUAUAAUACUUUCUGUAUUGGCAAUACCAUUUUUUUCUAACUAAGAGGAUCCGAAUGGUGGAGGAGGGAAAAGAAGUGCAGUUCGUGGUAUUUCAAACAGGAAUCUGUUCCGCGUUGGCCGCUGAUCCAUUGAUCACGUUUGGAACGGCUGCAGAUCGGAGCAGCUGUCGGAUCGGAGAUUACUCAUGCAAAGAUUGGGAAUGGAGCGGGAAUGGAGCAUCUCCGGAGCGGAAGUGGCGCACGUCGCUCUCCGGGCCACCGAGCUCGAUUUAGUCAUGCAUCUAGCGGCAUGCACGGCGAAGACUCUCUUCCGGUCUUUGCAUUCUGCAGUCUACAUUCUGCUCGAUGCUCGCUGCACUCUACCCGCUGCGCCAAUAGCCAAGAUUUGUCUUGGUCUCUUUGGGGCGGCAGACCGUACAUUCAACGUACUUAAAUCACGCGGCGGUCAAUCGGCAUUCGAGUUAUGCAACAUUCUCGGAAGCGAGCGCACCCAGCGACCUUUUAAGCGCGUCUGCCCCGCUCCAAGUCAACACUGCCACUCCAGAGCUGACCGCGGUAGCAGUCAAGGUUCCACAAAAAUACAUAGGAAUUGGAAUAGGAAUACUAAGGAUACCAGCAGACCUCCAUAACCCUCAACUCCAAUCAGAUGAGCCCAAGGUAACGACGUCAUAUUGUUUCCAGUCGAAAUCCAAGCUAUUUGAAGAAGAGUGCCCACCAUGACGCACUGCCUCUGGUCGACGAUGCUGGCCCUCCUGGCCCUGCUCUCCGUGGCGACCUGUCGCUCGGUGCGCCAGCUGCCAAGUGCAUAUUCGCAUCCGGCCGUGCUGCCCGGCGGAUACUAUGGACAGCCGCCCUACGCUUACCCCCCGCCCUACGGCUAUGGGUACCAGGCGCCACCCCCACCGCCACCCGUUUACAGCCCCUACUACGACAACGUUUUCGGAGUCUACAAGAGCUACCCCGGCGGCGGAUAUCCCGUGCGGUUUGAUUAUAACAAUCGUUGCUCUCGGAACUACAUUGGCAUCAAGCCCCAUCCGGAUCAGCAGCAGUACUACUAUGUCUGCAAGCCGAAUUGUGUGAUUUUCAGCAAAUGUCGCGACCUUGAGAGUUUCAGUUCGAGCAGCGGACGCUGCGUGCAGCACAUUCCCCAGCACAGUCUGGACCACAGUCCGCCGCAGUGCCAGAAGGAGGGCCGCUUUCCACAUCCCCACGACUGCAAGGUGUACUACAGGUGCGACAAAAACCGGACGCAGCCCUGGCUUUUCGCCUGUCCCGCGGGCACCAUUUUCUCGCCGGUAGAGCGCAAGUGUCUGCCCGGUGACCAGUGCCCCUCGACGGAGAUAUCGAACAGUGGCAGCUACAUUCCACAGAACUGCGAGCUCAAGUUCCCCGAGUGCGCCGGCGAGGGCACCUUCCGCUCGCCGACGGACUGCGCCCUAUACUACACAUGUCGAUUGCAGGACAGCGGUACCUACUUGCAGACGCGCUUUAAAUGCCCCGGCAGCAAUAGUUUUGACACCGAGCGGAAACUGUGUCGUCCGCGCAACGAAGUCGAUUGCUUCGACUAUGUCCCGGCACCACAGCCAUACUAUCCACCCUAUCAAGCGCCACCGCUCUUCGAGGAGGACGACUACGAUACAGAUACAGAUGACAAGGAACAGCAGCCUGCUCUUAAGUCGGGAGGGUUUGAAAGACCCUCGGUAAAUGUGGUUAUUCUGCCCACAAAGACCACACCAACGACCACAACCACAACGGAGCGCACCACUGCCUAUUACAAAUACGACAAUUAUCACUCAUAUGACUAUUCUUCACAUCAUAACAAAAAAGAAGAACCGUCAGCAGAAAGCCAAAAGGUUGAGAAAUCGGAAGCCUUGGGCAGACUUAAGCUGUCUGAGCACGUUGUACUCCUGCCCACUACACCGGCGACUACGACUACCAAGCUUGAGUCCUCAAAGGAAACCACCAAGUAUCAACACAAAAGAUACACCUAUGCAACUGAGAGUCCGAAAACCAAACCUGCAUUAAAUGGCUUGCACCUUUCGGAAAAUAUUGUUGUUCUGCCCACGACGACCACAACGACGACCACCACGACUACGCCAAAACCAACAGUUCCGACUUGCCCCACCAUACCAACGCCAAGUACAACAGUCACGACUCCGAUAACGUCUACGACUACAACCACUACUCAGAGUCCAAAACCAACGACUCAGGAAACCUCAACAGUUACCGAAAAAACUACCACACCGACUCCGAAAACUACUGUUGUGACAACGACGACUCGGAAACGAAGCACGACCACUGACAAAUCGUCACCAGUUACGAAAACCACAAAAAAGGCAACAACAACUACUCCUAAAACCACAACAAGUACAGAAAAACCCACUACUCUGAAAACAACAACAGUGAAAACAACUACUGAAAAACCAACAACGACUACGCAGAAAACGUCAACAGUUACUUCUACCACCAAAGAAACAACAGAAAGUUCACCUAAGCCUACAACAAGUACCGAAACACCAACCACGACUACUAAAAAAAUCUCUACAGUAAGUACGACUACAGAAAAACCAAAAAGUACUACUCCAAAUCCUACAACAACCACACAGAAUACCACACCGACAACUCAGAAGCCAACUACUGUGACUACCACUACGCGAAGGCCUACAACUACUUCCCAGGAAACCUCAACUAGCCAGAAAACAACAACGAAUACUCCCAAACCUACAACAACUACCCUGAAAACAACAACGAGGGAUUUGAGCACAACUAAAGUGGUAUCCACUACCACGAAACCUACCACGACAACUCAGAAAAUCUCUACUAUAACUACGACCCAGAAACCAACAACGACAACCCAAAAGCCAACUACAGUAACAACCACUACUAAAAAACCAAUAACGACAACUCAGAAAACGUCAACAGUUACUACUACCACCGAAGUGUCCACACAAAGUUCUCCUAAACCCACAACGAGUACGGAAAAACCUACCACUACUACUCAAAAAACCUCUACAAUAACUACGACGACUCAAAAACCGACCAAUACUACACCUAUUCCAACUUCAACGACCCAAACAACAACAACAACAACUGCAAAGCCAACUUCAGUGACAACGACUACUCAAAAACCAACAACGACCACUCCGAAAACUUCAACAGUUACUACUACCACCCAAAAAACAACAGAAAUUUCUACUAAGCCGACAACGAGUACCGAAAAACCAACCACGACUACUCGGAAAAGAUCUACAGUAACUACAACCACUCAAAAACCGACAACUUCUACGUCUAAGCCUACAACGACUACUCAAAAACCUACAACCACGACCGAGGUAACAACAACGACGACUCUGAAGCCAACUACUGUGACAACCACUACUCAGAAACCAACAACGACCACUCCGAAAACGUCAACAGUUACUACUACCACCCAAAAAACAACAGAAAGUUCUCCUAAGCCCAUAACUACGACUACAAUAACUACGACAAGUCAAAAACCGACAACUAGUACUCCAAAACCUACAACAACGACGACUCCGAAGCCAACUACUGUGACAACCACUACUCAAAAACCAAUAACGACUACUGAGAAAUCAUCAACAGUUAAUUCUACCACCAAACAAUCAACAGAAAGUUCUCCUAAGCCCAUAACAAGUACCGAAAAACCAACUACGACUACAAUAAGUACGACCAGUCAAAAACCGACAACUAGUACUCCAAAACCUACAACAACGACGACUCCGAAGACAUCUACUGUGACAUUCACUACGCAGAAACCAAUAACGACCACUCCGAAAACGUCAACAGUUACUACCUCCACCACGAAAACAACAAGUACCGAAAACCCUACCACUACUACUUUAAUAGUCUCUAGUACGACCUCUCAAAAACCAACAACAUCUACUCCGAAACCUACAACAACUAGUGUGACAACCACCACUCAAAAGUCAACAACGACCACUCUGAAAACCUCUACAGUAACCACGACCUCACCAAAACCAAGCACAAGUACACUAAAACCGACCACUACUACUGGAAAAUCGACAACAGUUACGGCAACAAGCACGAGUAUCGCCACCACGAGGAAUCCAACAACCAUUCCCGCGCAAAACUCCACCACCACGACUGAGCUGACCACUGUCACGCGACCGCACUGUCCCGAUCCCGACUCCACCUCAGAUAACAACACAAAUCCCGCAUGCACACAAGAACUCCGACAAGUCAAACAACUUCAACUACACUCACAGCAAAAACCUGAAGAACUCAACCACAGACAAGCCAGCAUAGAUUUAAUUGAAAGUAGGAAUGUUUUGGGUGGGCGGGAUGAGUCCGACUACAUGGACGAUGCACCAUCUUCUGGGGAGGGGGAAUCUGGGCAGGCGACAACAGCUAGACCUUCGACCAUGUCCACGCUGGCCGCUGCCCACCUGCUGCAGAAACUCUUCCACAUAAUCUCCACCACGCCGCCGAGCAGGGAGCACUCUUCUAGCCCACGUCCGCCCAGUCAGCAAUCCUCCUCCAGCCAGCGUACGCCUGGCGUGACCCUUUCCCAGAUGGCCAGGCACAACCUCGCCACCUCCAAGCCCUUCAUCGCCCACUCCCUGCGGCUAUCUAUCCAGCAGCUGGCCGCCCCCACCCAGAAGCGUUCCAUCCAGCCCCAGGCGCUCGUGUCACUGAACACCACCAAGAAGGAGCCGGAGGACUCCGAGUACUACGACAGCGAGUACGCAGAUGAGGACAAUGAAGUGCUGACGAUAACUCAGCCGAAGGCCAUGGCCAGCACCACGGUGGCUGCAGUUCUUCCGGCUCCGUCUUCGACCACUGAGCGGGAGCGUCUUGAGACUACUUCCUUGCCAAGUCAGACCAAGUCUGUUUCCAGUUCCACCACAGCUCAGCCGACGACCACUGGUGACCUGGAGUACGGCGACAGCUCUGCGGACUCUGACUAUCCCAACGAUGGGAAUGAGGUUCCGAAUAGUGUGGUCACGAGCCUGGAAGCCAGGAAGAGCUUCUUGCUGAGCCUGCUGAAGGAGCGGCUGACUCGAGUGGAGGACAAGAAGUCAUCGCCAAUGUCAACCACAGCUGCUCCUCAGACAACUCGUCCUACGAAGAGCACAACUUCCAGCACGAGUUCAACCACAAGGUCUGAAACGACUACGAGUACGCCGUCACCUACAUUUGCACCGACUCGAGCCAGGAAUUCGACACAUCUAAGCUCGGAAUACUAUGAUGAGGAUGAGGACUAUAUGGAAGACGAGCCGGCUAAUUCUUCUGAUUUUGAGAACAAAGAAGGGGGCACAGGAUUACAAGCCAAGAAGCCACCAGCAGCCACGGCCAAGAGGCACGUUGCUCUGAUGCAACAUAAAAUGGCCACUUGGGAUGCGAAAAACGACGGGCAAUCGAAGACCACAACCGGUGGUGUUCUCUUUAAGGGACUGGCAAGCGGGGAUAGUCAGUUUCCCUCCAAAAUUCCUCUCAUCCAGGCACUAGGAACCAAGGGUGUUGCUAGCCAGGUUCUAAACAGAAAUGUUCCCGACAAAGUUGGGCUUCCGGCGAGGCUACCAAUUCCACACACAUUAAUGCAAACAACGAUAACAAAUAGAAUACCUACAAUCGAAACAUCUACUCCAAAACCAUCAUCAACAACCACAAAAACAUUAACAGCACGACCAACAUUCAUGGCCAGUCAACUGGUGAAAGCGUUAGAAAAACGAAAAUUAGAGGCAAUCACUCAGAGAACAAUAGAAAAAGUCACACCGACCACAUCGGAAACACUGCCCAUAGCAUCGGCGGUACUCUCAUCUGCGAUGGUGCCAUCGGCCACCUCCAGAGGGCGCCAAAAUGCCGUGCUGUCGGUGAACAGAAGACCGUGGUUGCUGGCGGCCCGCAACCAAACGGUCCACCUAACACCAAUCUCAUCCAAUGACACCACCGACCCAGUGAGCCCCGUUAACCCUACCUUCAAUCCACUAGUGUCCAGCCCCGAGGACUAUCCCACCGAGAAGGUGCCGCAGCUCAUCGUUAAGGUGUACGAGCCCAUCGACCUGAAGAUCGUCUUCUGUCCGAAGUCCUGCGACCAGGACCACGACCACAAAUACGGAAGGAACCAUUCUGAGGAAUUCAGCAAGCGAAAAAAAAUGUUUGACGAAGAUUACGAAGAAUGGAAUUGACAUGUUUAAUCUGUUGCAACAUACAUUGAUAAUUGCCUGCAAAAACAGAUUGUUUCCAGUGCUCGGUUAUGGACGGGCCAGAUCGGAAUGAACUUGAAAUAAAAGCCAGAAACGCACUAAUGUCCUUCGACGACUGGACUGGCAAAUAAAAAGUUUGCCGCUACAGUGCCCCCACUUCCGCUGCGGUGGUCUCAUGUGCGCGGCGACAAAGUUUUUAUUCCUUUGUUUAGAAUAAGCACAAGUGCGCACGUGUUCCGUUUGAGUCCGCUUUAGUGCAGCAGGGGCGGAUUGGAGGCUGGGAGGCUCAGAGGAGGCUGGGAAUGGGUCUGCGCCUGCGAUGCCGUUAAAUUUUAAUGCGCCCGUAUCGAUAUGCGUGCAUGGACCGCCCGCGCCAGCGGAAUCUAUAAAAGCCAAACUCGCGUGUCACCAUCACCAUCGCCACCUCCAUCCGGCGAUUCCUAUUCCCUCUAAUGCCGCCUGGUUGCCGGUGGUAGCUGCGAGUCGUGAUAAGGCAAUUGGCAUCUGGAGGUUAGUUGCUGGGCCAAGGAGGCAGGCAGCUGCACUCGCCUAUGAAUAUCCCAUGAGCUCACGCACUCCAACAUUUGCUCGUACUUUGCAUAAAUUCGCAAUGUCGCGACUUCUAAUCAAUAGCAUCGAGUUGGGAGAACCGAAGUGGAGUCGAAUUUGAAGAAAAAAAAAGCCCAGCCGUCACCGAAACUAUAUGAAGGAUGAAAAAAGCAUUGAUUUCAGUCAACUGGCAAGGAAAACAAAAGGAAAAUUGAAUUACAAAAUACAUUAUAAAUGACUUGUUUCACUAAUUUAAUAAACAGGAAUAUAUUUAA
This is a non-coding RNA of Drosophila suzukii, 7966 nucleotides long. The record is from RefSeq and is a predicted model, not a curated record. NCBI's taxonomy places the organism in Eukaryota, Metazoa, Arthropoda, Insecta, Diptera, Drosophilidae.